Molecule: long non-coding RNA, 1633 nt
Organism: Pangasianodon hypophthalmus (striped catfish)
Lineage: Eukaryota; Metazoa; Chordata; Actinopteri; Siluriformes; Pangasiidae
Exons: 4
Source: RefSeq, a predicted model, not a curated record
UGCAAAAGGUGUCCACACAGUGAGAAAAAUGUUUAAAGUCUUAUUACUCAUGGUGGCUCUCACUGGUGGAUCCAGCUAGAUGGACAGAUAUUGGCUGUAUGGAUCAAUGUGAAAUCUGCUGAAUGAUGGUUACCACUCUAACCUUUUUUACCUGCUUCUAUUGUGGGCUGGUUAUGGCAAGCAGAUUAUGUUCAUAUGCCCUGGAAAGGAAAACAAAGCAGUUUUUGUGACAGAGGCUUUGCUAUGACAUAAUUAAAGAUGCAGUGGGGUUUUCUAACCUAUGUUGUGCCACAAUCUGCAUUUAAGGGCCGAGUCUUCACUAUAUAAGAACGUACAGAACAGCUGUGGCUACUAAAGGACAAUUCACAUAGACAGCUUUUAUGAAGCAUCUUUUAGUUAGGCAUGCGCUUCUAUUUUCACCAGUGUUUUAAUAUAUGCCAGCUGUGAGAUGCACUGUAAAAACGUUCAACUGUCUGACCUGCUGCACAUUUUACAUGCAUGUAAGUGAAGCAUACACACUAUAGAAACUCUGUAGAAAUCCAUCAAGUCCAAAAUACAUUUUGUUUAAUUGUAUUAAAAUAACAAAUUUAUUUACAUAAUACUUUGCAAUAGUCAGUUUUGCACUUUACUGAAGGUCAAAUCGCCUCUCCUGAAUUUUUUACUGCACUUUCUCUCUCUCAUGACCUUCCUGUGAUGCUCAUUUAGGCCCACUCUAGAAAGAUGAGUUUAUUAUUAUCAAAAGCUCUAGUAACUGUACAUACAUCUACAUAUAUCACUGUAUAUCUGUAACUAUAUACAGUGACUGUAAUGGUGUGACUGUUUUUCACUCUUGGAGCUUUUGUGAAUUAAAUUGUCUAUAUAAUGCUCUCUGACAGGUUUAAUUCUCUGAUGAUACGUAACGAUUGAUUAAAAACAGACUUUUCAACCCAUUAAACAAUGUUGUUGCUUGUAAUGUCAUCAGACAUACAUAAUUAGUAGGCUAGGUAGUGACCUAUGAGUUGUUAGUUCAACUGAUAAAAAUACAAAGUGUGAGUUCGUAUAUGUUUUCAAUAAAAUAAAAUACAGUUCUCGUACUGUUUUUGUUGCAAGCCUAGAAUUUUCAAUAUAGCACAAAACUUGUAUUGGGCGAGCGGAAACAUAUCUUGUGUAUUUGGCCCCAGUGCCUGGCUUGGGACGCUGCAUUAUAUUCUUUAUGUAUUCUAUCAUUAUUUAGUUUAUCCUCUUGUGUGUUUUGAUUGUUUAUUUGGACUAUAACCAAUAUAAAAACGUAUACCCUUGUCUCCACGUUUAUUACACUGCCGCUAGCAUAUCAGUGAAAAUUUGUCUUCUGUAAAUUCUGUCAGUCAGCUGGUUAAUUUAUAAAAUACUAAAAAUCAAUGUAAAAUGUAAUGUAAGUGAAACCUAAUGUUAUGUCAAAAACAUAACAAAAAUAUUAAGGUGCUACACGGUGCACAUUCAGUUCUUAAAGAGAAUGAGAUGAGCUGAUCUGAUAUCGCAGCAGCACAUUGAAAAACACCUCUUUAAACACAUAAGUUCUUCAAAUCCUGCCCCUUUUUACAUCUGCAAUGCUCUAUGCCAUGUUACCGACUAGGUUGGUUAUCAUGAAGAUCUAAACAUAUAAUACAUAUAUAAU